Molecule: long non-coding RNA, 736 nt
Organism: Poecile atricapillus (Black-capped chickadee)
Lineage: Eukaryota; Metazoa; Chordata; Aves; Passeriformes; Paridae
Exons: 3
Source: RefSeq, a predicted model, not a curated record
AGAUAAGGAUGGGCCCAACUUCCCACCUUUUGAUAAGUAAAGAAUAAAACAGAAGCAAACAUAUAAUUUGCAAGGUGACAAGAAAUCUCCCACAGAAAUUGUACAAUAAUAGGAUCUAGUAAAUGCUUGCUAUUCAAAAUAAGUUUACCACCACAGCAUCUGAAAACCUCAUCGUGAAGUGCUUCAGAUUGGGAUCUCGGUGUCUGAUUGUGGAACAGCUCCAUGAAGAGAGAUUGUGAGCAAUGCUUCUUAGACUAGCUGAGAGCCUGUGGGGCAGAACACUUAUUUGGAUAAUGAGAUAAUAGCACCAUAAGGUCUUAAAUAGGAAUCUCCAACAUUUGACUCUUCACUACCGCAUUCCUUGCUAUUAAAUUGUUGUGGUCUGUUUGGUGUUUUCCUGAAAGUAUUAAAUCUUUUUAUCCUCAAGUACUAGUGUGAUCUUGAUGAUAUGAUUAAUUUGACAACAUUUCCAUAUUUCUUAAAAAAACCUCCAAAACAACUGGAUUAACUCUAGGUUAGUUCAGUAAUAUAUCACACAUUGCCAUCAUAAAUAAAUUUGUUUGACAGUACCUACACAUGUGUCCUUUGUUCACUAUCAUAAUUCUGUUAUCUAGUUAAAAACUGUGUUUCUCAAAACAUGAAAUAUGUUUUAAAAGGAUGUAAAAAUGAAAAAAAGUUAAGUUCUUUUAGUCUGUUUGCUGUCAUUCUUGACCAUCCAACUGUAUCACACUUUUAA